RNAcentral lists this ribosomal RNA (1084 nucleotides) under uncultured Verrucomicrobium sp. RNAcentral's name for it is "bacterial SSU rRNA". It matches the Rfam family "Bacterial small subunit ribosomal RNA", at positions 97 to 1178 of the family's 1533-position model. Lineage: Bacteria; Pseudomonadati; Verrucomicrobiota; Verrucomicrobiia; Verrucomicrobiales; Verrucomicrobiaceae. The record is from RNAcentral.
GGCGCACGGGUGAGUAACACGUGAAUCACAUGCCCUGCAGAGGGGGAUAGCCCAGGGAAACUUGGAUUAAUACCCCAUGGUCUCGCAAGAGUAAACGGUGGCCGCAAGGCUGUCGCUGCAGGAUUGGUUCGCGCCCUAUCAGCUUGUUGGCGGGGUAACGGCCCACCAAGGCUACGACGGGUACCUGGUCUGAGAGGACGAUCAGGCUCACUGGAACUGAGACACGGUCCAGACACCUACGGGUGGCAGCAGUCGAGAAUAAUUCACAAUGGGGGCAACCCUGAUGGUGCAACGCCGCGUGGAGGAUGAAGGUCUUCGGAUUGUAAACUCCUGUCAUCCGGGAGCAAGACCUGACGGUGAAUAGCCGGCAGGGUUGAUAGUACCGGAAGAGGAAGGGACGGCUAACUUCGUGCCAGCAGCCGCGGUAAUACGAAGGUCCCGAGCGUUGUUCGGAAUCACUGGGCGUAAAGGGAGCGUAGGCGGCGUGGUAAGUCAGAUGUGAAAUCCCGGGGCUCAACCCCGGAACUGCAUCCGAUACUGCCGUGCUAGAGGAUUGGAGAGGUAGCUGGAAUUCACGGUGUAGCAGUGAAAUGCGUGGAUAUCGUGAGGAACACUCGUGGCGAAAGCGAGCUACUGGACAACUCCUGACGCUGAGGCUCGAAGGCCAGGGUAGCGAAAGGGAUUAGAUACCCCUGUAGUCCUGGCAGUAAACGGUGUGCGCUUGGUGUGAGGGGAAUCGACCCCCCUUGUGCCGGAGUUAACGCGUUAAGCGCACCGCCUGGGAAGUACGGUCGCAAGACUAAAACUCAAAGAAAUUGACGGGGACCCGCACAAGCGGUGGAGUAUGUGGCUUAAUUCGAUGCAACGCGAAGAACCUUACCAAGGCUUGACAUGCAUCUCUAAGCGCGUGAAAGCGCGUGACCCUUCGGGGGAUUUGCACAGGUGCUGCAUGGCCGUCGUCAGCUCGUGUCGUGAGAUGUUGGGUUAAGUCCCGCAACGAGCGCAACCCNUUGUGAACAGUUGCCAGCGCGUCAUGGCGGGAACUCUGUUCAAACUGCCCANAUCAACUGGGAAGAAAGUGGGG